CAGACAUACCCGUAGUGGAUUCCUUAUCGCUACCAACUGGGUUAUGACUGCUGCCCACUGCAUUGAGAAAGUCAACACAAACACACUGCUGAUAUUGACCAGCACAAAACUUUCAUAACAAAUAUCAGUUAAGAAAAACAAGCAUUGUGUUUGACCAAUGUGAGAAAUGAUUAGGUCUAUAGCUUUUCCUUAUUCCUCCAUCCAGUCUGAACCUGAAUGAUCAUGUGCUUGUGGGCAAGCACAACCCGGCAGAGGCUGAGCACAGCUCUAAGGCCUACCUCCAGUCAGGAAAGGAAUCCUCGUGCACAGACACCAUAACCCUGUCCUGCUGUCAGUGGGCCAGAGGCCCCACCCCCGACACCCUGCAGUAAGCCCUGAUGCCCAUGGUAACCUAACAUAGCAGGCCCUGAUGCCCAUGGUAACCUAACAUAGCAGGCCCUGAUGCCCAUGGUAACCUAACAUAGCAGGCCCUGAUGCCCAUGGUAACCUAACAUAGCAGGCCCUGAUGCCCAUGGUAACCUAACAUAGCAGGCCCUGAUGCCCAUGGUAACCUAACAUAGCAGGCCCUGAUGCCCAUGGUAACCUAACAUAGCAGGCCCUGAUGCCCAUGGUAACCUAACAUAGCAGGCCCUGAUGCCCAUGGUAACCUAACAUAGCAGGCCCUGAUGCCCAUGGUAACCUAACAUAGCAGGCCCUGAUGCCCAUGGUAACCUAACAUAGCAGGCCCUGAUGCCCAUGGUAACCUAACAUAGCAGGCCCUGAUGCCCAUGGUAACCUAACAUAGCAGGCCCUGAUGCCCAUGGUAACCUAACAUAGCAGGCCCUGAUGCCCAUGGUAACCUAACAUAGCAGGCCCUGAUGCCCAUGGUAACCUAACAUAGCAGGCCCUGAUGCCCAUGUUAACCUAACAGAGCAGUCCCUGAUGCCUGACUGAGGGCUUGUAGGCCUGUUGUAAGGCAGGUCCUCACCAGACAUCACCGCCAACAGGGUCGCCUACGGGCACAAACUUACCGUUGUUGGACCAGACAGGACUGGGAAAAAGUGCUCUUCACUGACGAGUCGCGGUUUUGUCUCACCAGGGGUGAUGGUCGGAUUUGCGUUUAUCGUCGAAGGAAUGAUCGAUUUGGAGGUGGAGGGUCCAUCAUGGUCUGGGACGGUGUGUCACAGCAUCAUCGGACUGAGCUUGUUGUCAUUGCAGGCAAUCUCAACGUUGUGCGUUACAGGGAAGGCAUCCUCCUCCCUCAUGUGGUACCCUUCCAUGACCCUCCAGCAUGACAAUGCCACCAGCCAUACUGCUUGUUCUGUGCGUGAUUUUCUGCAAGACAGAAAUGUCAGUGUUCUGCCAUGUCCAGCGAAGAGCCCGGAUCUUAAUCACAUUAAGCACGUCUGGGACCUGUUGGAUCGGAGGGUAAGGGCUAGGGCCAUUCCCCCCAGAAAUGUCCGGAAACUUGCAGGUGCCUUGGUGGAAGAGAGGGGUAACAUCUCACCACAAGAACUGGCAAAUCUGGUGCAGUCCAUGAGGAGGAGAUGCACUGCAGUACUUAAUGCAGCUGGUGACCACACCAGAUACUGACUGUUACUUUUUAUUUUGACCCCCCCUUUGUUCAGGGACACAUUAUUCCAUUUCUGUUAGUCACAUGUCUGUGGAACUUGUUCAGUUUAUGUCUCAGUUGUUGAAUCUUGUUAUGUUCAUACACAUAUUUACAUAUGUUAAGUUUGCUGAAAAUGAAUGCAGUUGACAGUGAGAGGACUUUUCUUUAUAUACUGUGAAACAGGACAUCCACACAACACUACUCUAUCUGAAACCAACAGUCUUGAUUGUUUUUUAAUUUUAUUUACCUAUGCAAGUCAGUUAAGAACUUAUUCUAAUUUACAAUGACUGCCUACCCCGGCCAAACCCUAAUCUGGACAACACUGGGCUAAUUGUGCGCCGCCCUAUGGGACUCCCAAAAACGUCCGGUUGUGAUACAGCCUGGAAUCAACCCAGGGUCUGUAGUGACGCCUCUAGCACUGAGAUGCAGUGACUUAGGGGGCCCCAGUGAUGGAUCAGCAACACCUGUUUCCUCUUCAUAUCCACACUGGCUACUACAGCUGAAAUGUAUGAGGAACAGGUCACAACCAGUUGUAGUCAUUUAGCAUUAAGCUAUAAUGGAGUGUGUACUGUAUGUCACAUUUCUGAAAAAGGAGAGGAGCUCCAAAGUAGCACUAACCUAGCAGCCUCUGGCACAGGAAGUGUGUAUGUGUAUGGAGCAGCAGCAGAGCCCGUUUCAGGUUUCUUUCUGCCAGUUCCACAUCACAAACCCAGGAGUUCCAAAGAAACAUCAAUCACACAGACUUGUCUAAAAGCUGUUUUCAUUUGGAGUAUCUGAGGUGUGUCUCUUUGUGAUGUGGUGUUUAACCAGGAAGUUAGUUUAAGUUCCUUUAAAGUACAGAGAUCAUGGAUAUAGUUUCUCUAUCCUGAGGGUUUAGUUGGUGGACGAUACUUGGAUGGGGGGUGGGAACUGUUUACUAGUGUGGUAUCGUUUUUUUCUAGCAGUCAUUUCUCCCUCCCAAUGUAAAAAUAAAACUUUUGUUUUAACCCUU
Molecule: long non-coding RNA, 2582 nt
Organism: Oncorhynchus keta (chum salmon)
Lineage: Eukaryota; Metazoa; Chordata; Actinopteri; Salmoniformes; Salmonidae
Exons: 2
Source: RefSeq, a predicted model, not a curated record